This is an RNA transcript of Physeter macrocephalus (sperm whale), 1235 nucleotides long. It is a transcript of the gene named zinc finger CCHC-type containing 10, with no coding region annotated. The transcript has 2 exons. The record is from RefSeq and is a predicted model, not a curated record. NCBI's taxonomy places the organism in Eukaryota, Metazoa, Chordata, Mammalia, Artiodactyla, Physeteridae.
CGCGGCAGGCCUCAGCCGCGCUAAGAUGGCGACUCCCAUGCAUCGCCUCAUAGCCCGGAGACAAGCGACUUCCCUGGUGGCGCAGUGGUUAAGAAUCCGCCUGCCAAUGCAGGGGACACGGGUUCGAGCCCUGGUCCGGGAAGAUCCCACAUGCCGCGGAGCAACUAAGCCUGUGCGCCACAACUACUGAACCUGCGCUCUAGAGCCAGUGAGCCACAACUACUUGAGCUCAUGUGCCACAACUACUGAAGCCUGUGCACCUAGAGCCUGUGCUUUGCAACAAGAGAAGCCACCUCAAUGAGAAGCCUGCGCACCACAACGAAGAGUAGUCCCUGCUCAGCAACGAAGACCCAGCGCAGUCAAAAAUAAAUAAAUUUAUUUAAAAAAAAACAACUACUACUGAGUAGUAUUUCCUUGCUUGAAACAUUAGUUCUUCACAUUAGGAUUGGCUUAAUUUUUGAACAAAUGCUAAAAAUAAAUUACUGUCAAAAUUACAGAAGCUGGCUGACAAUGUGGGAAUUCAUUAAUGGAAAGCAUACUAUAAACAAUAUAUGUCCUCUUAAACCCUUGCCUAUUUAAACAUUCAUUCAUUUUACAAACAUUUACUGAACACCAAUUAUAUGUUCUCCAGGGAUAUAAAGGUGACUGCUCUAGGUCGAAAUUAAGAAUCCAGCAUCCCAUCAUGCAACCAUGUUUUGAGAAAAUUUAAAUUGCCAUGUAUCGUUAGUCCAGAUAAUUGAUUAGCCUAAUGUGUGGAUUGAUAUUCACAACUUCCAUUUAUUUGUGUAUUACUUUAUGCCAGAUUCCUACUGCUUUCUAUACAAACAUCCCAGUCUGUAGAAUGGGGAUAUUGUUCUCAAACUCAUUGGGUUGUCGUGGGGAUUAGAUGUAUUUACGUAUAAAUAGUACUUAGCUAAAUUCCUGGCACACAGUAAGUAUAAACCACGGUUAUGGUCUUAUCUAAUUCUCACAAUAACCUAGUGAAGUAGAUAUUAUCCCAUUUUUUAGAAUAGAAACUGAAGUUCAAAAACUGGCUUGUUAAUGAGCCUAAAGCUAUGUAGUGAAAGAGCCAAGAUUUUUAAAAAAUUUUAUUGUUGUGAACUAUAACACAUAUACAAAAAAGUUCAGACAACAUAAAUAUGUCCUUAAUAGGUAAUUAUAAAGAGAACAUCCCAUGUAACCACUACCCAGAUCAAGUAUUUAAUAAAAAAUUGCCAAUAUACUAGAUGCCACCA